GUCAGGUUCAGGUCUGAGGCAGAUCCAGGUCUGAGUCAUGUUCAGGUCUGAGUCAAAUCCAGGUCUGAGUCAGGUUCAGGUCUGAGGCAGAUCCAGGUCUGAGUCAGGUUCAGGUCUGUGGCAGACCCAGCUCUGAGUCAAAUCCAGGUCUGAGUCAGGUUCAGGUCUGAGGCAGAUCCAGGUCUGAGUCAUGUUCAGGUCUGAGUCAAAUCCAGGUCUGAGUCAGGUUCAGGUCUGAGGCAGAUCCAGGUCUGAGUCAGGUUCAGGUCUGUGGCAGACCCAGCUCUGAGUCAAAUCCAGGUCUGAGUCAGGUUCAGGUCUGAGGCAGAUCCAGGUCUGAGUCAGGUUCAGGUCUGAGGCAGAUCCAGGUCUGAGUCAUGUUCAGGUCUGAGUCAAAUCCAGGUCUGAGUCAGGUUCAGGUCUGAGGCAGAUCCAGGUCUGAGUCAUGUUCAGGUCUGAGUCAAAUCCAGGUCUGAGUCAGGUUCAGGUCUGAGGCAGAUCCAGGUCUGAGUCAGGUUCAGGUCUGUGGCAGACCCAGCUCUGAGUCAAAUCCAGGUCUGAGUCAGGUUCAGGUCUGAGGCAGAUCCAGGUCUGAGUCAGGUUCAGGUCUGAGGCAGAUCCAGGUCUGAGUCAUGUUCAGGUCUGAGUCAAAUCCAGGUCUGAGACAGGUUCAGGUCUGAGUCAGGUUCAGGUCUGAGUCAAAUCCAGGUCUGAGUCAGGUUCAGGUCUGAGGCAGACCCAGGUCUGAGUCAAAUCCAGGUCUGAGUCAGGUUCAGGUCUUAGUCAGGUUCAGGUCUGAGGCAGAUCCAGGUCUGUGUCAGGUUCAGGUCUGAGGCAGAUCCAGGUCUGUGUCAGGUUCAGGUCUGAGGCAGACCCAGGUCUGAGGCAGAUCCAGGUCUGUGUCAGGUUCAGGUCUGAGGCAGAUCCAGGUCUGAGUCAGGUUCAGGUCUGAGGCAGACCCAGGUCUGAGUCAAAUCCAGGUCUGAGUCAGGUUCAGGUCUGAGUCAGGUUCAGGUCUGAGGCAGACCCAGGUCUGAGUCAGGUUCAGGUCUGAGGCAGAUCCAGGUCUGAGUCAGGUUCAGGUCUGAGUCAGGUUCAGGUCUGAGGCAGAUCCAGGUCUGAGUCAGGUUCAGGUCUGAGGCAGAUCCAGGUCUGAGGCAGAUCCAGGUCUGAGUCAGGUUCAAGUCUGAGGCAGAUCCAGGUCUGAGUCAGGUUCAGGUCUGAGGCAGACCCAGGUCUGAGGCAGUUCCAGGUCUGAGUCAGGUUCAGGUCUGAGGCAGAUCCAGGUCUGACUCAGAUUUCAGGUCUGAGGCAGACCCAGGUCUGAGUCAGGUUCAGGUCUGAGUCAGGUUCAGGUCUGAGUCAGGUUCAGGUCUGAGGCAGAUCCAGGUCUGAGUCAGGUUCAGGUCUGAGGCAGAUCCAGGUCUGAGGCAGAUCCAGGUCUGAGUCAGAUCCAGGUCUG
This is a long non-coding RNA of Girardinichthys multiradiatus, 1462 nucleotides long. RefSeq lists it as uncharacterized. Lineage: Eukaryota; Metazoa; Chordata; Actinopteri; Cyprinodontiformes; Goodeidae. The transcript is spliced from 3 exons. The record is from RefSeq and is a predicted model, not a curated record.